CCACCCACCACAUCCCAUCGACCCCACACUGUGCCCCAUUGACCCCACCCUUAACCCCAUAUCCCCCCCUGCCCCCAUAACCCCAACUGUCCCCCCCUUCCUCCCCCAUCCGGCCCCACAGACCCCAUUGCUGCCCCCCCUUUGGUUCUCACUCACCUGAGCACCCCCUAUAGGUGGGGGUCCGACCCCAUAAGCGCCCCCCGGGAUCCCAUAGGACACAGUGGGGGCCGGGGGGGGGCCGGGCCAGGAGAGAGCGGCAGAUGGGGACGGGAUGGGGGCGCCUGUGGGGAGAGGGGGUGGGGGAUAUGGGAUAUAGGAUAGGGGAUAUAGGAUAUGGGAUAUGGGGUGUGGGAUAUGGGAUGUGGGAUAUGGGGGUGUGGGGUUGGGGUGGGGGAUAUGGGGUGUGGGGUGGGGGAUAUGGGGUGUGGGAUAUGGGAGGUGGGAUACAGGAUAUAGGAUAUGGGAUAUAGGAUAUGGGGGUGGGAUGUGGGAGGAGGGGUAUAGGAUAUGGGAUGUGGGAUAUGGGGGGUGGGGUUGGGGUGGGGGAUAUGGGGUGUGGGAUAUGGGGUGUGGGGUUGGGGUGGGGGAUAUGGGGUGUGGGGUGGGGGAUAUGGGAUAUAGGAUAUGGGAUAUGGGGGGGGGACGUGGGAUGUAGCAUGUAGGAUAUAGGAUAUGAGGGUGGGAGGUGGGAUAUGGGAUAUAGGAUAUGGGAUGUGGGAUAUGGGGGGUGGGGUUGGGGUGGGGGAUAUGGGGGUGGGAUAUGGGAUAUGGAGUGUGGGAUAUGGGGUCUAUAGAAUGUAAGAGCUAUAGGAUAUAGGAUCCAUAGGAUAUAGGUCCAUAAGAUAUAGGGGCUAUAGGAUAUAGGGUCCAUAGGAUAUAGGGCUAUAGGAUAUAGGGGCUAUGGGGGCUAUAGGGACCAUAGGGUCUCUAGAGGAUAUAGGGGCUAUAGGACAUGGGCUAUAGGAUAUAGGGUCCAUAGGAUAUAGGGGCUAUAGGAUAUAGGAGCUAUAGGGUCUAUAGGAAAUAGGGUCUGUAGAAAAUAAGGUCUAUAGGAUAUAGGGGCUAUAGAAUAUAGGAUCUAUAGGAUAUAGGGGCUAUAGGAUAUAGGGGUAUAGGAUAUAGGGGCCAUCGGAUAUAAGGGCUAUAGGGUCGAUAGGAAAUCGGGUCUAUAGGAUGUAUAGGGGCUAUAGGAUAUAGGCUGUAUAGGAUAUAGGGGCUAUAGGAUAUAGGGGCUACAGGAUAUAGGGGUAUAGGAUAUAGGGUCCAUAGGAUAUAGGGUCUAUAGGAUCCAUAGAAUAUAGGGUCUAUAGCAUAUAGGGUCCAUAGGAUAUAGGGGCUAUAGGGUCUAUAGGAAAUAGGGUCUGUAGGAAAUAAGGUCUAUAGGAUAAAGGGGCUAUAGGAUAUAGGGUCCAUAGGAUAUAGGGGCUAUAGGAUAUAGGGGCUAUAGGACACGGGCUAUAAGAUAUAGGGUCUAUAAGAUAUAGGCUGUAUAGGAUAUAGGGGCUAUAGGAUAUAGGAUCUAUAGGAUAUAGGGGUAUAGGAUAUAGGGUCCAUAGGAUAUAGGGGCUAUAGGAUAUAGGGGCUAUAGGACACGGGCUAUAAGAUAUAGGGUCUAUAAGAUAUAGGCUGUAUAGGAUAUAGGGGCUAUAGGAUAUAGGAUCUAUAGGAUAUAGGGCUAUAGGAUAUAGGGUCCAUAGGAUAUAGGGUCCAUAGGAUAUAGGGGCUAUAGGGUGUUUGGGGUCUAUAGGGCGCAUGGGGUCUCUGGGUGUGCCCACUCACCGCCGCUGUCCCCGUGGC
Gallus gallus (chicken) is the source of this 1797-nucleotide long non-coding RNA. NCBI's taxonomy places the organism in Eukaryota, Metazoa, Chordata, Aves, Galliformes, Phasianidae. The record is from Ensembl.